UGAGGUCACUGUCUGAUUCUGAGCUG
Molecule: non-coding RNA, 26 nt
Filed under: Mus musculus (house mouse)
Lineage: Eukaryota; Metazoa; Chordata; Mammalia; Rodentia; Muridae
Source: RNAcentral